RNAcentral lists this unclassified non-coding RNA (287 nucleotides) under uncultured fungus. RNAcentral describes it as "partial contains 5.8S rRNA, ITS2 and 28S rRNA". It matches the Rfam family "Eukaryotic large subunit ribosomal RNA", at positions 668 to 961 of the family's 3401-position model. The record is from RNAcentral. Lineage: Eukaryota; Fungi.
AAGGAGUCGUCUUCGUAUGCGAGUGUUCGGGUGUAAAACCCCUACGCGUAAUGAAAGUGAACGCAGGUGAGAGCUUCGGCGCAUCACCGACCGAUCCUGAUGUCCUCGGAUAGAUUUGAGUAAGAGCAUGCGGGGCCGGACCCGAAAGAAGGUGAACUAUGCCUGUGUAGGGUGAAGCCAGAGGAAACUCUGGUGGAGGCUCGUAGCGGUUCUGACGUGCAAAUCGAUCGUCAAAUAUGGGCAUAGGGGCGAAAGACUAAUCGAACCUUCUAGUAGCUGGUUUCCGC